AAAGCGCGCGUAGGUGGCUUGAUAAGCCGGUUGUGAAAGCCCCGGGCUCAACCUGGGAACGGCAUCCGGAACUGUCAAGCUAGAGUACAGGAGAGGAAGGUAGAAUUCCCGGUGUAGCGGUGAAAUGCGUAGAGAUCGGGAGGAAUACCAGUGGCGAAGGCGGCCUUCUGGACUGAUACUGACACUGAGGUGCGAAAGCGUGGGUAGCAAACAGGAUUAGAUACCCUGGUAGUCCACGCCGUAAACGAUGUCGACCAGCCGUUGGGUGCCUAGCGCACCUUGUGGCGAAGUUAACGCGAUAAGUCGACCGCCUGGGGAGUACGGCCGCAAGGUUAAAACUCAAAUGAAUUGACGGGGGCCCGCACAAGCGGUGGAGCAUGUGGUUUAAUUCGAUGCAACGCGAAGAACCUUACCUACCCUUGACAUCCUGCGAACCCGGAAGAGAUUCCGGGGUGCCUUCGGGAACGCAGAGACAGGUGCUGCAUGGCUGUCGUCAGCUCGUGUUGUGAAAUGUUGGGUUAAGUCCCGUAACGAGCGCAACCCUUGUCCUUAUUUGCCAGCGAGUAAUGUCGGGAACUCUAAGGAGACUGCCGGUGACAAACCGGAGGAAGGUGGGGACGACGUCAAGUCAUCAUGGCCCUUACGGGUAGGGCUACACACGUGCUACAAUGGCCGGUACAAAGGGCUGCGAACUCGCGAGAGCAAGCGAAUCCCUUAAAGCCGGUCUCAGUCCGGAUCGGAGUCUGCAACUCGACUCCGUGAAGUCGGAAUCGCUAGUAAUCGUG
This 785-nucleotide ribosomal RNA is filed under the name uncultured bacterium. RNAcentral describes it as "bacterial SSU rRNA". It matches the Rfam family "Bacterial small subunit ribosomal RNA", at positions 562 to 1346 of the family's 1533-position model. The record is from RNAcentral.